RNAcentral lists this ribosomal RNA (208 nucleotides) under uncultured bacterium. RNAcentral's name for it is "partial 16S ribosomal RNA". It matches the Rfam family "Bacterial small subunit ribosomal RNA", at positions 568 to 775 of the family's 1533-position model. The record is from RNAcentral.
CGCGCAGGCGGUCGUUCAAGUCGCGUGUGAAAGCCCCCGGCUCAACUGGGGAGGGUCACGCGAUACUGGUCGACUCGAAGGCAGGAGAGGGUAGUGGAAUUCCCGGUGUAGUGGUGAAAUGCGUAGAUAUCGGGAGGAACACCAGUGGCGAAGGCGACUACCUGGCCUGUUCUUGACGCUGAGGCGCGAAAGCUAGGGGAGGCAAACG